Xenia sp. Carnegie-2017 is the source of this 800-nucleotide long non-coding RNA. RefSeq lists it as uncharacterized. Lineage: Eukaryota; Metazoa; Cnidaria; Anthozoa; Malacalcyonacea; Xeniidae. The record is from RefSeq and is a predicted model, not a curated record. The transcript is spliced from 3 exons.
CUUCAAAUGCGAUGAUGUUUUAUAAACCUUCGUACCUUACCGUAAUAAUUAAACAACCUUUUCAAUGAAAUCGAGCAGAGAAUAUAUUGCAUGAGACAUUCGUUAAUUAUCUUGUUUUUAUCUAGGUAUUUUUGAAUUAUAUCGCAUGUAAUAAAUCGUUUGACAAUGUUACAGAACACUGCAUGUGUUAUAACAUUGAGGGGUGUUAUAACACAAUGCACGGUUCAAACGAUAAGCUUUCCGCGAGUCUUAUAAUCUUCAAAGAGUUGUUCACUUAACAUACAUGUUCAGUCAUGUACAGUGUCGAGCGUACGGACAGUGAAAGAACGCGAACUCUGGCAGUGGUAUGUGCUAAACAAUUGUUUGUUUCCAUUAAACAAAUAACUCCUUCUUCAGUCUUUUUUUUAGGUACAAGAGAUGAAGAUCAGGAAGAAGAUAGAGAGGAGUACGUUAUUAUUUUUCCUGUCCUUAUCUUAACUUGUUUUUAGAUUUUUCGUUUAGAUGAGGAGGAGGCUAAUGAAAAGUAGAGGAGGAUGCUGACGGAGAGACAAGAAGGAUGCAGAUGAAGAGACGAGGAUGCAGAUGAAGAGAAAAGGAGGAUGCAGAUGAAGAGACGAGGAUGCAGAUAAAGAGAAAAGGAGGAUGCAGAUGAAGGGACGAGGAGGAUGAAAAUGAAUGGACAAGGAGGAUCAAGAACGGACAAGGAGGAUCAAGAAGGAUAUAGAGAAACAUGUCGAGCGUACGGACAGUGAAAGAACGCGAACUCUGGCAGUGGUACAAGAGAUGAAGAUCAAGAAGAA